GCGCCCGUAGCUCAGUUGGCAGACCGGUAGAACGGUGAUCCACCGGCUCGGGUUCAAGUCCCUGCGGGCGCU
Phthorimaea operculella (potato tuberworm) is the source of this 72-nucleotide non-coding RNA. The record is from the annotation of a GenBank genome assembly. NCBI's taxonomy places the organism in Eukaryota, Metazoa, Arthropoda, Insecta, Lepidoptera, Gelechiidae.